AUCAUUAAGGCAAGCAAUAUUUUGUCAGUUUUGAAAAGUACGAAGGAACGAAUUAACAACUCUAGCAAGAAAUAAAAGAUCAACUUUGAUAACAUGGGAUUGAUGGACAACACCCUGAAUUUUAAAAUCGUUUCUCUGUAAAGAAUAGAUUUAACUUGCGUUCUUCUACUGUAGUCUUCAUACGAAACAACGACAGAAUAUUCCCAUCUUUUUCUCUCCCACGAACUCACAGCCAAUACAUACUCGACACUACAGUGCCCAGUGCCCUGUACACUACCGUCGUAUCUACUAUCUUCCAUCCUCGUCCUCAUCACGUUCAUAAUAUCUUCAUUCUCAUGUUCCAUACGUUCCACUCAAAGUUCCAGUCUCUGUCAAACAAUCUGCCACCCAUAUCGACUAUCUUUCUCUCAAUGAUACUCUUCCCUAUCCAGUAGCAUAUAACUCUCUUUUCUUCGUUCCACUAGUCGCUCUUUAUAUGCUCCAUCUCCCUUUAUUUCAUACUAGACAGUCUCUUUUUUUCUUCAAUUCAUGUUCUCUGUUCCAUUCAAACGCUAGUCGUUCCCUUUCUUUGUCGCUCUAACAUGCUACUUAUAAGACUAUCCUCGUCUAAUCGUCUCUCCUUGUUCAGUAUAUACGUCGCUCCUCCUCCGACAGGCUUGCGUGCACAGUUUUUUCUCCGCUUUCGUCGUUCCCUCACAGUAUCGUAUAUCGCUAUCUCUAUCUUUCUUCUUCUUGUUUCACAUUGUAUAUCUGUCCCUCUUUGGUUCCACGGAACAACUCUGUUCCCCCUAUCUCUGUCGUUCUUGACUCGCGUCACGCACAUUUUUUUGCAGCCCCGGCGCUCUCCCGCUCCAUCUAUCUUCUAUCUUUAUCUGUUCUUUGACGCUUCCACGUACGUUUAUCCUUCUCUCGCUCUCCCGCUCCGAAUAUCUUCUAUCUUUAUCCGUUCUCUAAUGCUUCUGUGUUUGUCCUUUUCUCGCUCUCCCGCUCCGAAUAUCUUCCAUCUUCGUUUCUUGUUCGUUCUAUACAUAUGUCUAUCCUUGUCUCACUUUCUGCAAUAAGUCUUCCCCUUUUUCUUACGUAUUCCCUCUUCGUUCGACGAAUCGAUUCAGCGAUGUUGGUGCUUGUUUAAUGGAUUCGUUCUCUGUCUGGGUUUGUCUUUGUCGGCUUCACGAGCCAGUGCACACGAGGAUAGAGGAGAAACGGGUUCCGUUGGCGGUCUCUGUCGCACGCUCGCUGCCUGGCCCACCCACCGCAAUAAGUUCCACCCGCCCACGUUACCUCUCACGCACUUCUGCCGCGCGAUCAUCCGUUGCGAAUUGGAAAGCAGGCGCGUCGCUUAUCUCGCUCCGGCAUCUCCCUCCGCGCGCAGCGACGGCAGUGCAAGAGAGAAACGCGUCUCUGCUCUCGAGUUUUCGUUUCUUUAUAGUUGGGAUACAAGGAGGAGGAAGAAGCUAGCGGGCGAGUUUUCAUUUUGCGGGAAAAUUGGACGACGCGACGCAAUCUACGACGAGCAUAGAUCGUUAAACGAUGUCUAAACUAUUAAGGAACGAGUGAUAGUUUAUCAUAAUUAAACCGCGGAAUUUUACGUUUCUGGAUAAUUUGAAGAUAAAAAUGUGCAACAUACAUGUAAUGUGACAUGUAUAGAGUGUAAUGUUUGUUAUGGUAUUUGGUAGAACACAUUUCCGUCUGGGCCCGGUUUUUGGAAUUGUAUUCAGAAAAAUAUGAACUUGCAUGAAUAUCCGCACUUUAAUCGCGAUGUUAUAAAUAUAAUAUAUCAAUUUCUUUAAAUUGCACAGCUUUGUUAUGGCUAAAUUGCUAAAAAUACAGAUAUCGGUAAUGUAAAUUGAUUGCAAGAAACCGGAAAUGAAAUGCUACGGCCAAGAUACAUAAUUACAUCGUCAUUAGCGUGAAAUUUCACAAUUUAAACGAUUUUUCCAUGUUAAAAUACAGCAUUGCGUUUGAUACGUCGUAUUCACUUGCCUUCGCCAAUUAUUCACCGCGUAAUUGAUAGAUCCGUUUAUAUUACAGGUCCGGAGGAUGAGCUGGUGAGGAAACAAGGCCAACAGGAUCUUUCCAUUUGCCAUCGUUUGAAACGGUUGAUUUAAGUGACGUCCAACAGCGCAAAAUAGACUGCACCUCAAAAACAAGGUCAUAUCGGACAUAUGUUUACAGCUGUGUUAGUACAUACAUCCGCAGCUUUUCCGCGGACGACGUAUGCCGAUUGCCGAUUGGACAAUUGUCUGUCAGUAUGAACUAGGCUUCAGUGAACCCAGCAAAAGCUCGACUCGAUCUGCCGAGUCUCUCUCUCGACUCUCCACAAUCCACAACAAUUGCCGUGUAUGCGAUCCUGUUUCCACGGCGGCAGCGGGCGACGACGGCGUCUGCGUGGCGUCAGCUGGGCGUGCCAUCUUGCACGUCUGCGUCCGUCUGCCCAUGGUAUCAGGGUGCCACGCUAUCUAAGAAGCUACUUAACUCCCUCUAACGAACCAAGAGACAAGCCAACAAAACCCGAUAAGUAACAGGAGUUUCGCAGUUGGAUGAACACAGGCCGAACAUUCACGACCGAAGAAGCCAAACGAGGAACGUGAAACGACGAAGGAGGUGUUCUCUGUUCAGGAACAAGAAAGGAGGCGACGAACGAAGGGGUAAGCGGACAGAGAAUGAGUCGAGGGGAGUGAUGAUUUGGUGGAACCAAACCGGUGCUGCCAGUGCUGUCGCGACGAGGAGAGUGUCACGCUCUCUCUGCUGUGCGUGGAAGAAACGAGGAGAGGGUCGCGCUUCGAGCAAGGCGACAGGAACGCCAGGAAGUAACACGCUUGCUAUUGUGAGCAACCAGUACCACUUUGGCGGCUCUUUUUGCCUUGAUGCUGGGAUUAUUAGGAGAAACGCGAGUCUGUCUCGUUGUUCGGCAAUAGGAGGUGGCGUUGGAGAGUCUGGAUCGAAGCGAAGGUGGUGGAGCAUUGAAAGUAUACUGGGAAGACUGGAAAGGGAUUUUUUGAGAGGUUUUCGGGAAGUUUUACAAUUACAUUUCGAUUACUUUAAACGAACAGCAUACAGGAUAUUGUGAUUCAAAAUUACUACAGAUUAUCUCCUUUGGACCUUCAAAUACUAAUAUUUCCAUAUGAACCUCUCUCGUGAACACACGAGGAAAUUAUGAUAUUGUAAGAAGAGGUUUUAUGAAAUUGCGCUGACCCAGUUUCUCUUGCUUUCCUUGUACACGAUUGGAUUGAAUGGCGUCUCGUGGAUUGAUCCUAGUUUAAUGGGGACAGCGUGGCAUUUGGGAAACGUGUGCCUCUGGACGCUUGGAACAGGUACUAUACCAUUUAACGAAAAGACAGUAAAGAUAGUCAGAAAACUUGUUAACCAAAAGUCAAUAACAUUUUACUUGGCUGGCUUUACUAUUUGAAUUGGUAAACUCAGUUUCGAUGGGAAAACCGAAGCGGAAAAUCGUGGCUAGGCGAAACUAAAAACGUAGCCGGUUCCAUCGGAGACAGUGGCACGGUGUGUCAGUGACCCUGCGGUCGAGGCUGCUGCAGCAGGAAAACGCGAAACCACCGCACGGGUAGAUAUCGAUUUGUCUGUGUUCGCUAGGAAAAAAAGUUGGCCGGCCUUCUGACGUUCGCCGCUGAUAUUGCCCGCAGUUCACGCUGACGUGCCAUUUACUCACUCGAACGACCUCCUCACGGCCGUUCGUUCUACCUCCUGCCGUUCCACCUCCUCAUCAGCGUUCCACGAUCGUUCGUUUUAUCGAGGAAGCUCAGGAUGAAAGAUAAUAUCGAGACUGAUUAAAUAUAGCACAACGUUCCAGCAAAAUUUUCGUCCUUUUAAUGGGAAUACGGGAAUACGAGAAGAGAAAUAUUGGAAUCUUUCGACUUAAGACGGAACUUAACUCUUUGGCGCAUGGAUGAAUAUGAUGUUUGUUUGAGAGAACAACGCUUGGAUAGGAAAGGAAAAGCCGUAACUACAAGACUGUUUUCUUUUCUUAAACGCGGACAAAAAUUGCUCAUUGUGCGAUAAUUACACUGAUACAUUGGAGUAUGGCGAUGACGUAACAAUUGCAAGCGCAAUUCUCAAGAGUCCCACCAUUUGUAAACACAAGAUGGAAAAAUAGUGAAGUCUCGUCUCCAUUGAAAUAAACCGAGCAACAUGCUUGUUGCCUUUUCUACGACAUCUCCAAGUUAAAAAAAUAUACCAAAUGUCCAGCUGGACGAAUU
Bombus huntii is the source of this 4217-nucleotide long non-coding RNA. RefSeq lists it as uncharacterized. The record is from RefSeq and is a predicted model, not a curated record. The transcript is spliced from 8 exons. Lineage: Eukaryota; Metazoa; Arthropoda; Insecta; Hymenoptera; Apidae.